UCGAGUUUCCCUGGUGUACCCAUGAGGGAGCCAGGAGCCUCUGCCAUCUCAGAUAGGGUUUCUGUCAGAGGCCUUGACAGAACGGCGGACAUCAAUCAGCACUGCUCACUGACUUUAGAUACUUAUGAAAACCCACCAACAUCUCUGAGUUAAAAAUGCUUCCUUCGACUGACAGCGUCUCACUGUCUAACUCGCCGUAUCACUUUUCCUAAUUGGUGUUGAAACAGUGUAUCAGGCUGGGGGUGUGGCUCAGAGGCAGAGAGUGUGACUGGUAUAUUUAAAGGUCCAACCUCCCGUGUGACAAAGAGUAAACAUGAAGAACAAAUGGUAUUUGUAUCCUACACUGGACCGGAAGCCCUACGAGAGAUUUGUCUACGUCUGUUGCUGUUGUAUCCGCAGAGCCUAGAACAGUUCCGAGUGUGUGCACUGCCUGAGACAACCAUUUGUUAUGCUAUCUAGACAUUUCAAUGGAAGUGAAACUGUGAUCUUUAUUCCAGUGUGUAAAUAUAUAGUUAUCUGCGCAGAGGAAGAGACCGGGGAAUACCUGCAGCUGAAGGCCCGGGGCCUGGCUGAGAGCUAUACCAAUGUGUCAGGAGAGUACCAGCAGAUCGUGGAACUUGAUUCUGCUCUACCUCACUGGGCGUGGCAGAUGUCUCAAAAGCCACCAGCCGGUCUGAGUACUGUUGUGGGGUUGAUGCUCUGGGUGCCCUUAGGAGGAAGCCUGGCAGUCGGGUGUUGUCUGCAUACUCAGGAACUGGGCUACAUGUGUCACCAGAAGAGCUAAGCCUAGGGCACUCAGGUUCUACACCCUUGAUGGAAGUCUUCAAGAACGCAGCAGCUGGGGGCAGAGGGUGCUGCUCCCAUUUCCUCUGCUGGGACAAUCUGGGAAACCAGAUUGACUGCGAUGAGAUUAGGGAGGACACUGCCAUGUGGUGUUCUGAGGAAGCACCUGUCACUUCAUCUGGUGCUCAGAAAGCAUGAAUUUAGGAACACAGGAACCAAGCACCCGGACAUUGGUCUUCAUCCACCCUCCAGCCUUGCUUUCCCAAGGCUGCUCGGAGAAACGUUUCCAUGGUUUGGCAGUGACUUUCUUCCCAGGCCCUGCCCAGUGGGUUAGGUCAAUAUCAGUAAUCAAAAGACAGCAUAACAUUAGAGAGAGCUGAGUGGAGGCAGGAGGAUUCUCAGGCCACGGUACAGCCCAGGGGUUGAGAGGGCACCACAGGGCCUGCUACCACACUCUCGGCAAGCCUGAAAUGUGAGGACCAGAGAGUGGCAGCACCCAUGGAUCACUCCUGUAGCUGUGGUGAGACCAGGAGCCACCGAGUCCUCCGUUCCUUCGGGUCUUAUUAAGUACUGUCAUUAAAGCUGCAUUUGCCUCCUAA
Molecule: long non-coding RNA, 1382 nt
Organism: Rattus norvegicus (Norway rat)
Lineage: Eukaryota; Metazoa; Chordata; Mammalia; Rodentia; Muridae
Source: RefSeq, a predicted model, not a curated record